CCAAAUUUGAUAUUUCAGACUUCUUCAAAAUUAAACAUUUCUGCUUUUCUAGGAACCUUACAAGGAAAAUAACUGUCAAGCUAUCAACUGACUGAAAAUUCUUGUAGAACAUGUAUCUGAAAACCCACCUGUGUCCAGACUGUAUGAAUAACUCUCAAAACAGUUCUACACUAUACAAUUACUUAAAACUCAAAGAGAACUAUGACUUCCUUUGACAAAUUGCCCUCUAC
This 230-nucleotide long non-coding RNA is filed under the name Mustela putorius furo (domestic ferret). Its description in RNAcentral is "lncRNA (ENSMPUG00000029107.1)". The record is from RNAcentral. Lineage: Eukaryota; Metazoa; Chordata; Mammalia; Carnivora; Mustelidae.